This 417-nucleotide ribosomal RNA is filed under the name Cetreliopsis asahinae. RNAcentral's name for it is "eukaryotic LSU rRNA". It matches the Rfam family "Eukaryotic large subunit ribosomal RNA", at positions 1 to 413 of the family's 3401-position model. The record is from RNAcentral. Lineage: Eukaryota; Fungi; Ascomycota; Lecanoromycetes; Lecanorales; Parmeliaceae.
AUUGACCUCGGAUCAGGUAGGGAUACCCGCUGAACUUAAGCAUAUCAAUAAGCGGAGGAAAAGAAACCAACAGGGAUUGCCUCAGUAACGGCGAGUGAAGCGGCAUCAGCUCAAAUUUGAAAUCUGGCCCUUUCGGGGUCCGAGUUGUAAUUUGUAGAGAGUGCUUCGGGUGAGACCGCGGUCUAAGUCCAUUGGAACAUGGCGUCAUAGAGGGUGAGAAUCCCGUAUGUGACUGUGGUUCGAACCCGUGUGAAGCCUCUUCGACGAGUCGAGUUGUUUGGGAAUGCAGCUCAAAAUGGGUGGUAAAUUUCAUCUAAAGCUAAAUACUGGCUGGAGACCGAUAGCGCACAAGUAGAGUGAUCGAAAGAUGAAAAGCACUUUGGAAAGAGAGUCAAACAGUACGUGAAAUUGUUGAAA